UCGAGGAUCUUCCGCAAUGGGCGCAAGCCUGACGGAGCGACGCCGCGUGUGGGAUGAAGGCCUUCGGGUUGUAAACCACUGUCACUCGUUAAGAAAGGGUCCGGCGUCAACAGCGUCGGGCACUGACGAAGGCGAGAGAGGAAGCCACGGCUAACUUCGUGCCAGCAGCCGCGGUAAGACGAAGGUGGCGAGCGUUGUUCGGAAUCACUGGGCAUAAAGCGCACGUAGGCGGUGCCGUAAGUCGGGUGUGAAAUCCCUCGGCCUAACCGAGGAACUGCGCCCGAUACUGCGGUGCUUGAAGACCAGAGGGGUGCAUGGAAUUUCCGGUGGAGCGGUGAAAUGCGUUGAUGUCGGAAGGAACUCCGGCGGCGGAAGCGAUGCACUGGCUGGUUUCUGACGCUGAGGUGCGAAAGCCAGGGGAGCAAACGGG
Molecule: ribosomal RNA, 430 nt
Filed under: bacterium
Lineage: Bacteria
Description: partial 16S ribosomal RNA
Rfam family: Bacterial small subunit ribosomal RNA
Source: RNAcentral